RNAcentral lists this ribosomal RNA (275 nucleotides) under Pinalitus oromii. RNAcentral describes it as "partial 16S ribosomal RNA". The record is from RNAcentral. Lineage: Eukaryota; Metazoa; Arthropoda; Insecta; Hemiptera; Miridae.
AUAUACUUUCUUUAUUUUAUAUAAAUAAAUUAAUUUUUUAGUUAAAAAGCUAAGAUUUUUUUAUAGGACGAGAAGACCCUAUAGAACUUUAUUUUCUACAUAUAUAUAUUUUAUAGAUUUUUAAAAUAUUAUAUAUUAAUAGUUAAUUUAAUUGGGGUGAUUGAAAAAAUUAUAUAACUUUUUCUAUUUCUAUCAUUUAUUUAUGAUGUUUUUGAUCCUUUAAUAUGGAAAAUAAGAUUAAGUUACCUUAGGGAUAACAGCGUUAUUUUUUUGGA